CAGCCGCGGUAAAACCAGCACCUCAAGUGGUCAGGAUGAUUAUUGGGCCUAAAGCAUCCGUAGCCGGCUCUGUAAGUUUUCGGUUAAAUCUAUGCGCUCAACGUAUGGGCUGCCGAAAAUACUGCAGAGAUAGGGAGUGGGAGAGGUAGACGGUACUCGGUAGGAAGGGGUAAAAUCCUUUGAUCUAUCGAUGACCACCUGUGGCGAAGGCGGUCUACCAGAACACGUUCGACGGUGAGGGAUGAAAGCUGGGGGAGCAAACCGGAUUAGAUACCCGGGUAGUCCCAGCUGUAAACGAUGCAGACUCGAUGAUGCAUUGGCAUAUAGCCAGUGCAGUGUCGCAGGGAAGCCGUUAAGUCUGCCGCCUGGGAAGUACGUACGCAAGUAUGAAACUUAAAGGAAUUGGCGGGGGAGCACGGUCAAC
This 424-nucleotide ribosomal RNA is filed under the name crenarchaeote SCGC AAA003-J13. RNAcentral's name for it is "SSU rRNA". It matches the Rfam family "Archaeal small subunit ribosomal RNA", at positions 462 to 886 of the family's 1478-position model. Lineage: Archaea; Thermoproteati; Thermoproteota. The record is from RNAcentral.